RNAcentral lists this ribosomal RNA (253 nucleotides) under uncultured bacterium. RNAcentral's name for it is "partial 16S ribosomal RNA". It matches the Rfam family "Bacterial small subunit ribosomal RNA", at positions 524 to 776 of the family's 1533-position model. The record is from RNAcentral.
UACGGAGGGUGCAAGCGUUAAUCGGAAUUACUGGGCGUAAAGCGCACGUAGGUGGUUUGCUAAGCCAGCUGUGAAAUCCCCGGGCUCAACCUGGGCACUGCAGUUGGAACUGGCAAGCUAGAGUAGGGUAGAGGGGUGUGGAAUUCCAGGUGUAGCGGUGAAACGCGUAGAUAUCUGGAGGAACAUCAGUGGCGAAGGCGACACCCUGGACUCAUACUGACACUGAGGUGCGAAAGCGUGGGGAGCAAACAGG